Molecule: long non-coding RNA, 2516 nt
Organism: Misgurnus anguillicaudatus (oriental weatherfish)
Lineage: Eukaryota; Metazoa; Chordata; Actinopteri; Cypriniformes; Cobitidae
Source: RefSeq, a predicted model, not a curated record
CACACAAAGCUUUUACGCCCGCGGCCGGCGCAUGUUUUAUAAUUGAUUCCAAUGGAAACUCUACGUUUUUCAAAUAAGCCGGCGCUCUGCGCUUUUCCGCGCUCGACGCUGAGCGUCAAGAGUUGAAAGAGAUUCAUCUUUGGGUGAAAAGCUCCGCUUGUCAAUGUCAGUUCUCACACGACCGUCCAAUCACAGUGAAGGAGGGGCGGGACAAGUAUCACAACAACCUCACACACAUUUUCUCUUUAAAACUUUUCCAGAAUGAAAUAUCUGAAGUUUUGUCAUGUCUGCUCAUACAUGUCUUAUGCUUUUCUGGAAAGUUACACAGAAAUGUAGUGGUAUCUUGUUUAUUAGAGGAUCAACCACAUAGGGCUAGAAACCUGAAAACAAGCAAUGCCACAGAGGAACCACUUUGGAUCUCCAAAGAUCUGUUUGUGCAACAGAAAGGUUUUGGGGAUGUUGUAGGUUCUUUAUGGAACCAUUUAGCCAAACAAAGAACUUUAGGAACCUUUAUUUUUAAAACUGUAUUCGCUAAGAAUAUUUUAGGUGUCUAAGGAUGCGAAAAUGAAUUUGGUGUACACCAGGGCUAGUCAACUGGCGGGCCAAAUGCGGCCCUCCAAUCAUCUUUAUUCGGCCCGCCGGUCAUCUUUGUCUGAUUUAAAAUCAGCGUGGUUACUUUUAUCUUUCCACUGUACAUGACAAAUGACGGUCGAUAAACCGAAAUGAGAGUCGUAAAGGGGCUGCGUAGGGUGCCAACCAUCUGUGGGUGCGUACUUAUUGGAUCCAAUUUGAGCAACAAAAAAAAAAGAAAGUUGUGCCCUUACACUGGUUGUGACACGACGACCGAAAGUGAUGUAUUUCAAUGUGUUCCAAUCAAAAAACAAUAUGUGUGAGGUGAAAAUUAUUCAUUAUUUUUGUUUAACUUUGUCAGUAACACUUGAAUCCUUUAAAAAGGAUUGAUUACUGAUAAAUAAAUUGUUAACUAUAAAUAUUUUUUGUAGAUUAAACGCUCUUGCACUGAAAUGAGCUUCUCUCUCUUGUUGACACAGAUAUACAAUUAAACUGAAAUUCUAUUACGACUGCCACAAGGGGGCGAACUCCGACAGUCGUGUCCGAAUGCAGUGUACAAUGGAAAGGCGGUUUAGCCUAUAUAUCUUUAAAAUAUAAAAAAAUAAAAGAGGAAGUGCAAUUUUAGCCAUUAAGAGAAACCUGGCUAUAUGUGUUGAAUACUUGAAAUGUAACAAUUUAUGAAAGGAAAUAGUUAUAAACAAAAGAAGUUUAACAGUUAGUGCUAUACAAAAAUACAUGUGUUGAAUAUUUACGCUUGUACACUGUAAAAAAUCCAAUUAAUGAAAUGUUGGAAGGGCAAAAAUAUAUAAGUUAAACCAAUUUUCUUGUUUGGGCUUAGUUGAGUAGACAUAUUAUUUUAAGUCUAGAUAAAUCUGUGUUUAAAACAUUAAGUGAAUGGUUAUUUCCAAAUUCAGUCAACAUUCAGAAUGGCUAGUGUUGACUGAACUAAUUAAGACAAAUCUGGUCAAUAUGUGGACUUAUGACAGCUAUGUUUCCUGACAGCAAAAUGCUCAUAAUAUUACUGUUAUUUGGUAACAAAAUGUAAUUUUAAGAGUUGUUCAGGCGUGAAUGUAUGUGCUUUAAGUUUAAAUAUGCGGUCGGUUAAUAUAGAUAGCGUCUAUUUAAAAAUGUGCUCGGACACUUUCGGACGGAGAAGAGCUCCAUUUGAGCUCCAGAAAAUCACAGACACUUAAGCGCUCACACCCCGCCCAGCGCAGCCUCGCCUCGGCAAGCCCAUCAGAAAUCGACUGCUGGCUCUGAUAUCUCUGUGGCGUUUAAACAUGCGAUUUAAUUCAUUUUAAUUUCUUAUACUUAAUAAUAAAAGGUUUACCGGUAUGUUUUAAAUCAUAUUUUAGGAUUGCACUUAAAUGAUAUCGCUGUUGAAUGAUAUUUCAUAUCUUUCACAUUUGUUAUAACUGGGCUGCGUACUGCCUGCGAAUUUGAACUUCAGAGCGGUAGGUGCGAGUGGAGAAAUAGUCCCAAUAUCAUAACAAUCUUAAAACUUCUAAAUAUACCCGUGUGUGUACCCGUGUGCGUGCGUGUGUGCGCGCGCGCGUGCUCGCGCGUGUGCAUGUAUGUAUGUAUGCGCGUGCGUCUGUGUAUUCUGAAUUUAAAAUGUUUUAACUCGGAAGGAUCUGGAUCACAGGUCAUUUCAUCUGAGAUCAAUCCGCACGCAACAGCUGGAAUCACUUACUGAUUCACACAAGGAAGGACACACGUCAGCCGUUUUCUCAAGUUCAUGUCAGAGUGGAGAUGAUGUGAGAGGCAGACCCGAGACAUAGCGAGACAGUCUCCGCUUGGACUGGCUGAGGAAAGUCUCCUAAAUGGCCCUGGAGAUGUUCUGACUGACUUUGGAGGCUUUUUGGACUGUUUUAUGCCCUCUAUUUAAAGACUUAAUUCUGUAUGAUAAGUGACUAAGUGAAUAAAAAGCUUUUGUUUUUAUGUGA